UGCCUCAUACAUGCAAGUCGAACGAGGUCCUCGGACCUAGUGGCGCACGGGUGAGUAACAUGUGGGAAUCUACCUGAAGGUUCGGAAUAACUGCGGGAAACUGUAGCUAAUACCGGAUGUGUCUGCAAAGAGAAAGAUUUAUCGCCUUCAGAUGAGCCCGCACUAGAUUAGCUAGUUGGUGAGGUAAUUGCUCCACCAAGGCUACGAUCUAUAGCUGAUUUGAGAGGAUGAUCAGCCACACUGGGACUGAGACACGGCCCAGACUCCUACGGGAGGCAGCAGUAGGGAAUAUUGGACAAUGGGGGAAACCCUGAUCCAGCAAUGCCGCGUGAGUGAAGAAGGCCUUCGGGUUGUAAAACUCUUUCAUCAAUGAUGAUAAUGACAUUAGUUGAAGAAGAAGCUCCGGCUAACUUCGUGCCAGCAGCCGCGGUAAUACGAAGGGGGCUAGCGUUGUUCGGAAUCACUGGGCGUAAAGCGUAUGUAGGCGGAUCAAAAAGUUAGAUGUGAAAUCCCUGGGCUCAACCUAGGAACUGCAUUUAAAACUAGUGAUCUAGAAUUUGGUAGGGGUUAGUAGAAUUUCCAGUGUAGAGGUGAAAUUCGUAGAUAUUGGAAAGAAUACCAGUGGCGAAGGCGACUAACUGGGCCAUUUUUGACGCUGAGAUACGAAAGCGUGGGUAGCAAACAGGAUUAGAUACCCUGGUAGUCCACGCAGUAAACGAUGAGUGCUAGUCGCUGGGACAAUAGUUUCAGUGUCGUAGCUAACGCAUUAAGCACUCCGCCU
This 781-nucleotide ribosomal RNA is filed under the name uncultured Alphaproteobacteria bacterium. RNAcentral describes it as "bacterial SSU rRNA". It matches the Rfam family "Bacterial small subunit ribosomal RNA", at positions 45 to 874 of the family's 1533-position model. Lineage: Bacteria; Pseudomonadati; Pseudomonadota; Alphaproteobacteria. The record is from RNAcentral.